GCUUAACACAUGCAAGUCGAGGGGCAGCAUGGUCUUAGCUUGCUAAGGCCGAUGGCGACCGGCGCACGGGUGAGUAACGCGUAUCCAACCUGCCUUACACUCUUGGACAGCCUUCUGAAAGGGAGAUUAAUACAAGAUGUUAUCAUGAGUAAGCAUUUUCACAUGAUUAAAGGUUUACCGGUGUAAGAUGGGGAUGCGUUCCAUUAGAUAGUAGGCGGGGUAACGGCCCACCUAGUCUUCGAUGGAUAGGGGUUCUGAGAGGAAGGUCCCCCACAUUGGAACUGAGACACGGUCCAAACUCCUACGGGAGGCAGCAGUGAGGAAUAUUGGUCAAUGGACGAGAGUCUGAACCAGCCAAGUAGCGUGAAGGAUGAAGGUUCUAUGGAUUGUAAACUUCUUUUAUACGGGAAUAAACGGAUCCACGUGUGGAUUUUUGCAUGUACCGUAUGAAUAAGGAUCGGCUAACUCCGUGCCAGCAGCCGCGGUAAUACGGAGGAUCCGAGCGUUAUCCGGAUUUAUUGGGUUUAAAGGGAGCGUAGAUGGGUUGUUAAGUCAGUUGUGAAAGUUUGCGGCUCAACCGUAAAAUUGCAAUUGAUACUGGCAGUCUUGAGUACAGUUGAGGUAGGCGGAAUUCGUGGUGUGGCGGUGAAAUGCUUAGAUAUCACGAAGAACUCCGAUUGCGAAGGCAGCUUACUAACCUGUAACUGACAUUGAUGCUCGAAAGUGUGGGUAUCAAACAGGAUUAGAUACCCUGGUAGUCCACACGGUAAACGAUGAAUACUCGCUGUAGGCGAUAUACAGUCUGCGGCCAAGCGAAAGCAUUAAGUAUUCCACCUGGGGAGUACGCCGGCAACGGUGAAACUCAAAGGAAUUGACGGGGGCCCGCACAAGCGGAGGAACAUGUGGUUUAAUUCGAUGAUACGCGAGGAACCUUACCCGGGCUUAAAUUGCAACCGAAUAUGGCGGAAACGCUAUAGCUAGCAAUAGCGGUUGUGAAGGUGCUGCAUGGUUGUCGUCAGCUCGUGCCGUGAGGUGUCGGCUUAAGUGCCAUAACGAGCGCAACCCUUGCCGAUAGUUACUAACAGGUCAUGCUGAGGACUCUGUCGGGACUGCCAUCGUAAGAUGUGAGGAAGGUGGGGAUGACGUCAAAUCAGCACGGCCCUUACGUCCGGGGCUACACACGUGUUACAAUGGGGGGUACAGAGGGCUGCUACCACGCAAGUGGAUGCCAAUCCCAAAAACCUCUCUCAGUUCGGAUUGAAGUCUGCAACCCGACUUCAUGAAGCUGGAUUCGCUAGUAAUCGCGCAUCAGCCACGGCGCGGUGAAUACGUUCCCGGGCCUUGUACACACCGCCCGUCAAGCCAUGGGAGCCGGGGGUACCUGAAGUGCGUAACAGCAAGGAGCGCCCUAGGGUAAAACUGGUGACUGGGGCUAAG
This 1437-nucleotide ribosomal RNA is filed under the name uncultured organism. RNAcentral describes it as "16S ribosomal RNA". It matches the Rfam family "Bacterial small subunit ribosomal RNA". The record is from RNAcentral.